RNAcentral lists this ribosomal RNA (478 nucleotides) under uncultured bacterium. Its description in RNAcentral is "partial 16S ribosomal RNA". It matches the Rfam family "Bacterial small subunit ribosomal RNA", at positions 28 to 523 of the family's 1533-position model. The record is from RNAcentral.
GACGAACGCUGGCGGCAUGCCUAACACAUGCAAGUCGAGCGAGCUGAUCCCUUCGGGGUGAAGCUAGCGGCGGACGGGUGAGUAACACGUGGGCAACCUGCCUCAUAGAGGGGAAUAGCCUCCCGAAAGGGAGAUUAAUACCGCAUAAGAUUGUAGCUUCGCAUGAAGUAGCAAUUAAAGGAGCAAUCCGCUAUGAGAUGGGCCCGCGGCGCAUUAGCUAGUUGGUGAGGUAACGGCUCACCAAGGCGACGAUGCGUAGCCGACCUGAGAGGGUGAUCGGCCACAUUGGGACUGAGACACGGCCCAGACUCCUACGGGAGGCAGCAGUGGGGAAUAUUGCACAAUGGGGGAAACCCUGAUGCAGCAAUGCCGCGUGAGUGAUGACGGCCUUCGGGUUGUAAAGCUCUGUCUUCAGGGACGAUAAUGACGGUACCUGAGGAGGAAGCCACGGCUAACUACGUGCCAGCUGCCGCGGUAA